Molecule: ribosomal RNA, 444 nt
Filed under: uncultured bacterium
Lineage: Bacteria
Description: bacterial SSU rRNA
Rfam family: Bacterial small subunit ribosomal RNA
Source: RNAcentral
CCAGACUCCUACGGGAGGCAGCAGUGGGGAAUAUUGCACAAUGGGGGAAACCCUGAUGCAGCAACGCCGCGUGAGUGAAGAAGUCAUUCGUGAUGUAAAGCUCUAUCAGCAGGGAAGAAAAUGACGGUACCUGAGUAAGAAGCCCCGGCUAACUACGUGCCAGCAGCCGCGGUAAUACGUAGGGGGCAAGCGUUAUCCGGAUUUACUGGGUGUAAAGGGAGCGUAGACGGCCAGACAAGUCUGAAGUGAAAAUCCAGCGCUUAACGUUGGAAGUGCUUUGGAAACUGCCGGGCUAGAGUGCAGGAGGGGCAGGCGGAAUUCCUAGUGUAGCGGUGAAAUGCGUAGAUAUUAGGAGGAACACCAGUGGCGAAGGCGGCCUGCUGGACUGCAACUGACGUUGAGGCUCGAAGGCGUGGGGAGCAAACAGGAUUAGAUACCCGAGUA